GAGCUCUAUUUCAUCAAUGUUUUCGACAUUACAUCAUAGAGUUAUUAUAGAUAGAGUAGGGAAGACAGGGAAGACAUAGGAAAGGCUCUUGGGAUACGGUUUCCAGGCAACGUUUCCUGCCCUAUGGCCGAUGCUAUGAUUUACUUUUUAGAAUUAAAAGAUAUCGGAAGUGGUACAUAGUGGUACAGCUGUUCUAUUGAUGACAGAUGUCAUUUAUUUUUAAUCAUUCUGAUGUACUCAGACUUGUUCUAAUUCAAUCACCGAUUUAAAAAUCGGAACAAACUUUCCAGACAACUCAACAUUUGGAUUAUAAAAAUUACCUUAAUAUUUUAUGUAACAUAUUGCUUGAAUAAAUUGAAAUCUUGAAUA
Long non-coding RNA from Ceratina calcarata, 369 nucleotides. RefSeq lists it as uncharacterized. Lineage: Eukaryota; Metazoa; Arthropoda; Insecta; Hymenoptera; Apidae. The transcript is spliced from 2 exons. The record is from RefSeq and is a predicted model, not a curated record.